Molecule: transfer RNA, 71 nt
Filed under: Cricetulus griseus (Chinese hamster)
Lineage: Eukaryota; Metazoa; Chordata; Mammalia; Rodentia; Cricetidae
Rfam family: tRNA
About the family: Transfer RNA (tRNA) molecules are approximately 80 nucleotides in length.
Source: Rfam by way of RNAcentral
GUGAGAUAGCUCAGUGGUUAGAGUAUUUGCUGUUCUUCUAGAGGACCUGGGUUCAAUUCCCAGCACUCACA